AAGUGUAUUACCUCUUGGAAGUAGCUACUGCUUUCUAUUGAUCCCCUGCUCUUAACACUCAAACUAUCUCACUUUCCAACUUGCUAUUUUCACUCACAAAUUCUGAUUGAAGUGUUUGGGGUGAAGAAAUGAGGCUAAGUGGAGACACACAUAUUUAUGGGGCGAAAAGUUGGGUCAAGAAUUUGUUAGCUGCAAAAAUCUGGAACUGCUUGAUUCUGACCAAGAUUUGAAUUGGCCUCUUGUUUGUAUAUGUAGGGAGAGCAAGAGGUUGUUCGGCUUGGGCUGAUUUUGUGUACCUUAGGGGAGUUAAUGAGGCUGACCUUGUUUGGUUUAUUGCCCAGCAUAUCUCUUGUUCUUGAUCCCCAAAGCAGCCUUUUACUUGACACAUUUUGGUGCUACUUGGAGUACUAGAGUUUGACUAAUUAAUUUAACUUGUUCUCACAUGCUCUCAUAGUACUUUGGUUCAUAACUCACAUUGUUUGCUUGUGGCUGGUGAGAAACAGGUGCUGCAUUAGGGUGGAGGAUUUGCAGGCUUGACUUUUCCCCUUUUGGUGAGAGUGAAAUCUCGGCUACUACCUGGCUGCACCGCGAGCGGGCCUGGGUUCGUGGUCUGGGCCGACGGGCUGCCCGAAACGGGCCCUAAAUUGGGCCUGGAGAAAAGGCCCGAAGUGCACUCCAAAGUUUAUUUUCCUUUCUUUGUUUUCUUUCAUAGAGGACUUUGAUCCAUGUAAUCUAUUUUAUUAGUUGUUCAUUUUAUUGAACACGAAAUACCAUUCGAAACACUUUAUUUUUCCGAA
This is a long non-coding RNA of Salvia hispanica, 797 nucleotides long. RefSeq lists it as uncharacterized. NCBI's taxonomy places the organism in Eukaryota, Viridiplantae, Streptophyta, Magnoliopsida, Lamiales, Lamiaceae. The record is from RefSeq and is a predicted model, not a curated record.